This 478-nucleotide ribosomal RNA is filed under the name uncultured bacterium. RNAcentral describes it as "partial 16S ribosomal RNA". It matches the Rfam family "Bacterial small subunit ribosomal RNA", at positions 28 to 507 of the family's 1533-position model. The record is from RNAcentral.
GAUGAACGCUGGCGGCGUGCCUAACACAUGCAAGUCGAACGGAGUCCAGCCUUAGAGACCUUCGGGUCAAAGAGGGGAAGACUGAGUGGCGGACGGGUGAGUAACACGUGGGCAACCUGGCUCAUAGAGGGGGAUAACAGAGAGAAAUUUCUGCUAAUACCGCAUAAGCACACACUGCCGCAUGGCAGAGUGUGAAAAGAGAAUCGCUAUGAGAUGGACCCGCGUCUGAUUAGCCAGUUGGCAGGGUAAGAGCCUACCAAAGCGACGAUCAGUAGCCGAGUUGAGAGGAUGAACGGCCACAUUGGGACUGAGACACGGCCCAAACUCCUACGGGAGGCAGCAGUGGGGGAUAUUGCACAAUGGGGGGAACCCUGAUGCAGCGACGCCGCGUGAGUGAAGAAGUAUUUCGGUAUGUAAAGCUCUAUCAGCAGGGAAGAUAAUGACAGUACCUGAAUAAGAAGCCCCGGCUAACUACGUG